Juglans microcarpa x Juglans regia is the source of this 3872-nucleotide RNA transcript. It is a transcript of the gene named pentatricopeptide repeat-containing protein At5g61990, mitochondrial, with no coding region annotated. Lineage: Eukaryota; Viridiplantae; Streptophyta; Magnoliopsida; Fagales; Juglandaceae. The record is from RefSeq and is a predicted model, not a curated record. The transcript has 5 exons.
GCUCGACCAUCUCUGCUCUGCCUCUCGAGUCCGAGUCCCCGCAGCCGUCUCUCAAGCUGAGCCCCUCUCUCAUGCCGUCAACAGCCCCUCGCCGUCGAAACUGUUGGUCCGUUCUGUUCUCCUCCGCUUCCAGUUGUUCCCGAGGCUACAGAAUCACAGAUAUUGUUUUCCCCUCUCUCGGCGAGCUAAUCGGUCAGGAAUAAAAUGGGUCUACUUUCUCAGAGAAACCUCCUUGCAUUUGCACUCCAAAAUCGAAAUGCUGUCGCAGAAGCACAACCAUCAAGACUUCUUUUUGUUUAUGCCAAAUCCUUCAGCUUUUGCACCUCGCAGACUUCAAAACAGAAUGAAGAGCUCACAAUCGAAGAAAUCUCCGCCUUUCUCAAGCAAAGCAACUGGCAGUACCUCAUGGAAUCGUCAAAUAUACCCAAGAAGCUGAACCCAGAAGUGGUUCGGUCUGUUCUUCAACAUAAUUGGGUGAGUGACCCCAAACGCCUCCUUCAUUUUUUUGAUUGGUCCACUUCUUUGAUGGGCGUUCCUCAAAAUCAGCAUUCUUUCUCGAUUCUUGCAAUUGCUCUAUGUAAUUCGAGGCUUUUCGCCCAUGCCAAUGGCGUCUUAGAGCGAAUGGUGGGAACCCGGAAGCCGCCGUUGGAAAUUCUUGAUUCCAUUGUUACUUUCUUUGUAGAAUGCGGUGGGUCUAAUGUGGUGGUUUUUGAGAUUUUGGUGAAUGCUUAUAGGAAAGUGGGGAUGUUGAAUGAGGCUGCUAGCGUGUUUUUGGGAAUUAAAAAUGAUGGGUUUUUGCCUACUCUAGUGUUUUGUAAUUCUCUGUUGAAGGACUUGGCAAAGUGUAAUAGGAUGGAGUUGUUUUGGAAGGUUUAUGAUCGGAUGUUAGAGGCUAAGAUGAGUCCGGAUGUUUAUACUUAUUCUACUGUGAUAAAUGCGCAUUGUAAGGUUGGGAAUGUUGAAGAGGGUAGAAGGGUGCUAUUUGGUAUGGAGGAGAAGGGCUGUAGUCCUAAUUUGGUUACCUACAAUGUGGUGAUUGGAGGAUUGUGCAAACAUGGGGCUGUUGAUGAGGCUCUUGAGCUGAAGAAGUUCAUGGCUGGGAAGGGGUUGGUCCCAGAUGCCUAUACUUACUCUAUACUUGUCGAUGGGUUUUGCAAACAGAAAAGGUCAGAAGAAGCAAAGUCGAUAUUGGAAGAGAUGUUUGGUAUGGGUUUAUGUCCUGAUCACAUUACCUACACUGCUUUGGUUGAUGGGUUCAUGAAACAAGGUAAGGUAGAAGAUGCCUUGAGAAUCAAAGAUGAGAUGGUUGCCCGUGGAGUAAGCUUAACUUUGGUAACAUAUAAUGUACUUGUCGGUGGGUUCUGUAAGGUUGGUGAGAUGACGAAGGCCAAAGCUCUCAUCAAUGAGAUGAGUGUGAUGGGAAUAAAACCAGAUAGUUAUACUUAUAACUCUUUAAUUAGUGGGUAUUACAAAAAGAAAAAUAUGGUCGAGGCUUAUCAACUUCUUCUUGAGAUGAAGAAGUGGAACUUGGCACCCACAGUAUUCACUUAUGGUGUGAUAAUAAAUGGCCUAUGCCAUUGUGGAGAUCUGCAAGGGGCUAAUGGUGUUUUGGAGCAGAUGAUUGCAGGGGGUUUGAAACUAAAUGCUGUUCUAUUCUCAACUCUAAUCAAAGGUCAUGUACAACAAAGUAGAUUUGACGAGGCAAUAACGAUAUUAAAAGGAAUGAAGGAAAAGGGCGUUCUGCCGGACAUGUUUUGUUAUAAUUCUCUUAUAAUUGGCCUCUGCAAGGCCAAAAAGAUGAAAGAUGCUAAGAAUUUCUUGGUUGAAAUGAUUGAGAGGGGUCUUAAACCUAAUGAAUAUACAUAUGGGACUUUCAUCGAUGGAUAUGCUAAGGCGGGUAAUAUGCAAUUAGCAUAUGGUUAUUUCAUAGAAAUGCUAGGUUGGGGUAUAGCGCCCAAUGGUUUGAUCUGCACGGCCCUGAUUGAUGGGCACUUUAAAGAUGGUAACGUAACUGGAGCUCUUUCUGCGUUUCAAUUAUUACUUGGACAAGGGGUCAUCCCAGAUAUCCAGACUUAUAGUGUCCUCAUCCACGGUCUUUCUACGAAUGGAAAAAUUGAGGAAGCAAUGGAGGUUUUAUCUGAAGUCCUUGACAAGGGUCUGGUGCCAGAUGUUUUUACCUACACCUCUCUCAUUUCUGGAUCCUGUAAGCAAGGUGAUUUAGACAGAGCUUUUCAACUCUAUGAUGAGAUGUGCCAGAAAGGCAUCACUCCAAACAUUGUUACUUAUAACUCCUUGAUCAAUGGACUUUGCAAGUCGGGUGACAUUGAGAGAGCUAGGGAACUGUUUGAUGGAAUCUCAAGAAAGGGUUUGGCUAAGAAUGGUGUGACCUAUGCUACGAUUAUAGAUGGAUACUGCAAAUCUGGAAAUUUAGCUGAGGCAUUUCAAUUAAUGGAUGAGAUGCCAUCUAGGGGGGUUCCACCUGAUUGUUUCAUCUAUUGUGCCCUUGUUGAUGGGUGCUGCAAAGCAGGAAACAUGGAGAAGGCCCUUUCCUUAUUUCAUGAGAUGGUGCAGAAGGGCUUUGCUUCCACAUCUUCUUUCAAUGCUUUGAUUGAUGGCUUCUCCAAGUCCGGGAAAUUGGACGAAGCUAACCAAUUGUUUGAAGACAUUGUUGAUAAGCAUGUGACCCCCGAUGAUGUGACCUACUCAAUUUUGAUCAAUUCGCACUGCAAGGCAGGAUUAAUGAAGGAAGCUGAGAAGCUCUUUCUGGAGAUCAAAAAAAGAAAUCUCAAGCCAAAUAUUUUAACUUACACUGCACUCCUGCAUGGGUACAACAACAUAGGGAGCAGAGAUAAGAUGUGUGCUCUUUUCGAUGAAAUGGUGGCAGCGGGGAUUGACCCUGAUGAAGAAACAUAUGGCAUGCUCGAGAGAAUUCCGUUGAUAUCUGAGGCUGCAAAUACAGAGAGGCCAUCUUCAAUCACAACUAGCCUGUUCAUUGGUGGGGCGCUGGCUGCAAGAUCUGAUAUCUGACAAUGAAGAUACAAAUAUUAGCAGUAUCUUUGAAGAAGCUUCUGAUUCUAUUGAUCAUGUUGAACAAAUAGGUAGAAGUGCCACCUUGGUUUUGGGUACUUAAUGCUCAGGAAGAACCUAACUCUACUAAAAGCAUGGAAUACCCUCAAACGAGUUCACCACUUAGCCCAGCUCAAUGAUGGCUUUGCUAGGAUCCUUUUGGAUCUGGAUAGGAAAUUACAUGGGACGCAGCAUCCAUGGAAUGGCGACAACGAAAGCCGAUGAUGAAGGUUUGCCCCAUUUGUUGGAAGAAGGCCUGUCUGAGCAGCAGUUUACUUGAGCUUCAUUCGCAAAAAUCACACAAGGAUCUUUAAUCAGGAAGUGUGGACAGUGGCAUGACCAUGGAAAUACAAAAGUCUUUGACAGCACUCAAACGGGGUCUGGUAGGUUUAGUUUUUUGUUCUGUAUUGGUGGUUUGUAAAUAAUAUAGUAUAGCCUCUUAUCUAUAUCUCCUGAAAUUUAAGGGGGUAUUUUAAUCUAAUCAUUUUUGGUAAGAAACACAAUAAUCAAAGUACCCCUUAUUUUGCCCUAAAUAGAUACUCUUUAUUUCAAGUUGAAUGUAAAACGUCCACAUUCAAGAGUGGUGGCUUAAUGGUCCUUGUCCCUUGGUUACUCCCAAGAGGUUUGGCAUGUACUAGGUCUUUUUUUUAAAUUCGAAUAUAGAUUCACCUAAAAUGAUUAGUAUUAGCCGUCUAAAGAUAUAUUAAAUUAUCUAGUUGAGAUGGAGUCUAAGCUUUGGCUCAAAAUUGAAUUGAGAGACUGCUUGUGACUACUUUUUCAAACUUGUUUGUUUUUCCAGAUUUGUG